AGUCUUGCCCAGCCAGCCCAGAUGGGCAAAACAGGCUCAAAGCUGUAAGCAUAUAAACUAUAACUGAAAUGAGAAUGAUUAUGAAAAGCCAAAAUUUGUGUUCUCUAUUAAUGUUUAAUUAAAUUUUGUUUUGCAGUUCAUGAGAAUGGUGGGUCGUCUCAAGGUGAAUUCAUUGUGGUGUGCUCAUACCAAAAAAAAAAAAGGGUUUUAAAUAUCAGUGAGGAUUUUUAAAAGGAGAAUUUAUUUAACUAUAUAACCUAAUUCUUUAUUUUCAUUAUUCCAUUUGGCCUGGAAGAUGACAUUACCAGCUUACAAGCAAAGAAAAAGAAAACAAAAUCGAAGAAAGACUUUAUACACAUAUAUACAGAUGACCUGGAUAGAUAUGUACAGGCAUUGUGAUUCUAACAGUCAUACUUUCUUUAAUAUGAAUCAGCUCUGUUUAAUCUGUCUUUUUGACAUUUGCUAUAAUAUAUAUAUAUAUAUAAUAUUUUGAAGGGCAUAGGCCUUUUUUGUUGCAUUGAUUACAAUAGUGUUAUUUGAAGCAUUUAUUACAUAAAUGUUAAAAUUGAUAGAUUUUAAUUAUACUGUAAUGCUGAAUGGCUAUAAUUACUAAAAUUGAGAAAAAAAUCAGAGAGAGAGAGAGAGACAAUGUUUUCACAAUGUUUUCACAGAUAUCUCUCAGCUAUUUGAUGGCUUGGAGAGAAGAAUACUGCUGAAACUUGACCAAAUCCAUGCCGAUAUUAAAACAGCUAUUGGACUGCAGUCUGUGAACCAGCAAAGCACCUCUGCCUUGGACCUAUUCGAGGUGCUAGAGGAGCCUUGCAAGUCAGUGGAGGAAUUGGAAGAGCUGUGCGAAAAGCUGAAAGCUGUUGAGUUUCGCAAGAAGAUUGUAUGUGCUGAAACAAAUGCUGUUUUAUGUUAUGCUGCAAUUUCUUGGCACUGUUCUUUGAUAACUGAUUGUUGUUGUUUGUAUGUAGAUUCGAUAUCUUUGUCUUCAGAGUGCAGGCAGUUUGGGGGAUGGCAUUAGAAGAAUGCUAAAAAAAUCGGAGAGAAUUCCCUUUGGGCUGAAUACAGCUACAAAGGGAGAAAAGGAAAACGGGCAUUUCAGCAACUGCUGAUCAAUGAUGCGAUCAUACGUGCCUGCAGUAAGGUGUAUCCACACCACAAGACCCAGAGUGUGGAAGACAUGAUAGCCGUGACCCUUAAGCAUGCUCCACAUCGUGAGAAAGCAAAGAAAAAUGUUCAGGUUCCAAGGGUGGAAUCAGAUGUGGAGGAGUAACGCUUCAACAUGGAAACUUGGCAACUCCACGCAAACACACACACACGUUUUUGUUUAUGAAAAUAAAAGUAUUUUUGUGUCCUGAUAUUCGGAAUUUGUGUGUUUUUCCUUGUUGUGUGUUUGUUCCUUGGUUGUUCAAUUUUGUGUUAUCAGACUAAUGCUACACUAUAAAAGGGUGUUAAGAUGUUAAAAGGACUUCUAGUGAAGUUCCGUAAAGGUCCCCGAAAGUUUUCUAAACGUCCCGUGAAUGUCCCUCGGGACGUCGCGCGAACGUCCCCCGCGAAGUCCUGCGAACGUCCCGCUGACGUCCCCCGCAACGUCCUGCGAACGUCCCGCUAACGUCCCCCACGACGUCCUGCGAACGUUUAAAGAACCCUACACGAAGACGUUCAGGGAACGUUCGCAGUGGACGUUCAGGGGACGUUCUGGGGACGUUUUUUUGUUAGCUGG
Molecule: long non-coding RNA, 1729 nt
Organism: Xyrauchen texanus (razorback sucker)
Lineage: Eukaryota; Metazoa; Chordata; Actinopteri; Cypriniformes; Catostomidae
Exons: 3
Source: RefSeq, a predicted model, not a curated record